This 253-nucleotide ribosomal RNA is filed under the name uncultured bacterium. Its description in RNAcentral is "partial 16S ribosomal RNA". It matches the Rfam family "Bacterial small subunit ribosomal RNA", at positions 524 to 776 of the family's 1533-position model. The record is from RNAcentral.
GACGUAGGGUGCAAGCGUUGUCCGGAUUUAUUGGGCGUAAAGAGCUCGUAGGCGGCUUGUUGCGUCGACUGUGAAAGCCCCGAGCUUAACUUGGGAACUGCGCUCGAAACUACUUGGCUAGAGUGUGGCAGAGGGAGGUGGAAUUCCACGUGUAGCGGUGAAAUGCGUAGAUAUUACAAGGAACACCAAUGGCGAAGGCAGCUUGCUGGGCUACUCCUGACACUGAGGUACGAAAGCGUGGGGAGCGAACAGG